CAGCCCCCGCUCUUCUCCACCUUCAGCCGCGCCGGCAGCGGCACAGAACUGGAACUGCCCUGGACGGCCACAGCUCUGCACAUCCCCCGGGAGUGUGGACAAGAAAAAAUAAACACAAUUAGAAUUCACGACAAUGGGCCCCUGAUGGAAGAAAGGCCAGCAGCCUCAAGCAAGCCGAAGUCCUUUCCUUUUGAAUGCAGAGUCUUGUAAAUUCUACUGUCUUCACAAACUCAGCUGCUGGUGGAAGCUCUCUGAAGAGCUGAGACAGGAGGUGGCACUGCUCUGACACCAUCCUUUGAAGGUGACAGAGCAACUCAGGGCUUGGGGGACGCCAGCCAGACGUGGAGAGGAGAGAGAAGAGGUGCUUGCAGAGACCACGAGGUCGUCACUCUCUCCCAGCAGCCAUCCCAGCAUGAUGGGCACUCCAAGGGCCAGCUCAUCCCACUGCUGGAGCAGAUCACACAGGACAGCCAGGGCCAGGCCCAGAGCGAUGGAGGCAUCCACCUGGCAGAAGGAAAAUUCUGCAGAGACAGGAGAAAGCUAUUUUCAAAUGGAACAAAUGGCCUGGGUUCCCCAGAGUUCCUGCAGGUCCAGCUCCCAAAGAAGACAAACUCCACAGAAGUGUUAUGUGCCUAGAACCUGUGACUGCCUGAUGUAAGCAUGCUUCCUGGUGACCUACGAUGAAACCAGAAAUACCCUAGCAAAUCCUUUGUUUUCAUUUUAAAGAAAAGAUAAUUUCAGAAUCUUUAUUAUUUUUAAUCAACAAUACAUUCCAAAAGAUCUUUAUUUUUAAAGUUAAAAUAACUAUGAUUUUUUAAAAUGUGAGCCCACCUCAAAUCACUGGGUAAAUAAAUUUUUUCUCCCUAAACUGAUUUUAAAAAUGGAUACAACCAGUCUGAAUGAAAACAAGUAAGCAUUUCAUAAGAGUUCUUCUUCUUCAAUAGGAAUGUACUUCACCAAAAAGGGGCUGAUAAAUUAUAACCAGUUAACAACAUACUCAGCUCAAACCCUAGAAAAAUACUUGCAUUUGUUUACUUCACGAAACCAACAAAUAAGGAAUGGAUUAAAACAAGUAUCACUCUCAGAAAAUAGCAUGUGGGAAAAAGACCUGGUUCUCCAGGGGGCUUCCAGUCUGGAGCUGAUCCACCAGCCUCCAGCCCCUCAGGGUGCUUCCAUUAAGUGCAACUCACUCCCGUUUCUUAGGCAAUCUCCAGAGCUCAGCAGGAAGGGUUACAGCACCCAUGGGCUGAGCACAUGGGCUUUGUGGCUAUUCCAGGGCAGGUAACAAAGGCCAGUCCUUGGGGCCUUGGUGUGUGAAGGGACAGCAGAGCAAACCAUGGGGCCUAUCCAGCCUGCAUUUGGCAUUCUUGCAUCUGGUGAUGAUUCCUUUGCCCUGAACUGUGUCAUGCCCUUCCUGUGCAAAGUGCAAAGCCAGUCCCUCCACAGCAGAUGAGCCCCUCCCUCUGUUCCUUGGUGAUUUCACUCUGCAGAGCCUCCCAGAGGGUUUGAUCGUCUCCAACUCUGCACAGGUGGUAAGUGCCUCGCACUUCAUUCCUAUCUGCAUGGCCACUCACCCCCGAGCACUCCUCCUGGACAUUACAGCACCCAGCCUUCUUUCUUCCCUGCCCAUGUCAUGAGCCAGUGAGGGAGGCUUCCACAGACUGGUAAGUGCUGGGCAACUUGAGGUCUGCCUUCCAUCAGCCUCCUCUUCCUCUGCCUGGACAGAGUUCAUCGCCGGCUCAGAGGACACAUUCCACAUUCCUUACUGACCAGCCUGGAUCUUGAAACUGUUCUUUUUCUUUUCCUUGACAUCACUUCAGUUUUCUUUAGCUUACUUCACUACUGGAACUUCCUUGUGUAGGAAAUUUCUUCUCGGCCUGAGCUCCUAAGACUGACUGGCUCCCUCUGAGCUCUUUGUGAAGCUUCCCUGGCCCUCAGCAUCACCUGCCUGGCUUCCCACUGCCACCCUCCACCCUCUGAGCUUAUUCAGGGCUUGAGGUGGGAGAGAGGAAGAAAGCAAGUAACCAAUUCAUUUCAACAGAGCUGUCAUGAGCAAAAGGCACUGUGCUAGCCUUGAAGAACAUGCUCAGUUGAGGUACUGCAAACACAGCACAGAACUCAAGACAGGGGACUGCCUGGCUCCCAAAACACACUGGUGGGAUAUGGGUGGUAGUGGUGCAGAUGGUCCUGAGGUGUAACUGAAGACCAGAAACUGAACAUCAGAAAAAUUCAAGAAGAUAAUGUUUCUCUCCUGAAGUCUUUACCACCUCCCAGCCUUAUACAGAAUCCAGAAAUUUCCCUUAUUAGGCACCCCUACCUCACACCUAGGCUUUUAUGGCUCUAAAUAGAACAAACACAGUAGAUGGUAAUGUAAUGAGCAAAUCAAGGUAUGAAUGACUUUUAAACUCACCACGUGAUUUUAAGAUUUACAGUGUUGAAAAUGAAAACGCCUGCGAUUUUGAAGUUUCUGGGAAUUUUGUAUCCUGAAAGGGAGUUUACUCCCAGCCCUCUCAAGGCUUUUCCUAUCUGUCCUGGGUGGCCAGCACUCCCCAGCAGCCUCCCUGGAGUGACUGUACACUUCCCAAAGGCAUGGGAAACCACCUCCGACAUGGCCCUAGGCUGACGCCGAGUGUGGAGAAGCCUGUGGGGCAGGUAAGAGAAGGGAGAGAUCCACAGAAAACCUCUUUCAGGAACACGCCAAAGAAGAGACAACAAGUCAGAGAUUAGAGGGCAGUGAGACUCUAGGUUUUGGGCCAACUAAAAAGGAGGAAAGCUCAAACUGUUACAGGAUGGCUUGAAGUUACCUGCUAACAGGAGCAUCUGAGCAGGGUUUCAGGACCCCAGGGGUCCACUGCUCAGAAAACUUCCCUUCCUUUAAGCACCAGGCCUUCAGUGGAGAGGCUGGGAGAAGGGACUCCGGGAAGAAGCAGGCUGUUUUCCACUUUGCAGUGAAUGUCACUAGCGAAGAGAAUCAGACUACACUGAAAAUGGCAGUACAUGAAAAAAUUCACAGUAACUACCCACGAGUCAUUUUGUUAGUAAUUCUGAAAACUGCAGCUAACAACAAAACAAUGACUGGGGGAAAAUUGUGACUUGGUGGAAAUAAACACAAAAAACUUACAAGGUCUAAAACUGGGCAUGAAAAGUCCUACUAAAAUUUUUGAAUAAAAAUAAAAUCACUAUUAAAGGCUAGGCAUGGCAGGGCACAGUGGCUCACACCUGUAAUCCCAGCACUGAGAGGCCAAGGCAGGUGGAACACCUGAGGUCAGGAGUUCCAGACCAGCCUGGCCAACACACUGAAACCCCAUCUCUACUAAAAAUAUAAAAGUUAGCCAGAUGUGAUGGUGGGCACCUGUAAUCCCAGCUACUAAGGAGGCUGAGGCAUGAGAAUCGCUUGAACCCAGGAAGCGGAGGGUGCAGUGAGCCAAGAUCAUGCCACUGCACUCCAGCCUGGGCAACAGAGCCAGACUCCAUCUAAAAAAUAAAAAAUAAAAGUGCUGGGCAUAGUGGCUCAUGCCUAUAAUCCCAACACUUUAGGAAGCUGAUGUGGGAGGAUCAUUCAAGCCCAGGAGUUCAAGACCAGCCUGGGCAACAUGGUGAGACCCUGUGUCUACAAAAAAAAUGUAAAAAUUAGCUGACUGUGGUGGUACAUGCCUGUGGUCCCUGCUACUUGGGAGGCUGUGGUGGGAGGAUCACUGGAGCCUAGGAGUUCAAGGCUGCAGUAAGCUGUGAUCGCACCACUGCACUCCAACCUGGGUGCCAGAGCAAAACCCUAUCUUCAAACAAAACAAACAAAGAGUUGAUAUUUAAGAAAAUAAGGGAGAACAUUAGGAAAUGGCUUCACUGCUUCGUAUAGAAUAUGUAUAUGUAUAUACACAUACAUGCACACACAUGCAUGCACACACAUAUAUAGAGAGAGUGUCUUGCUUUGUCACCCAGGCUGGAGUGCCGUAGCAGGAUCUGGGCUCAUUGCAAUCUCUGCCUCCCGGGUUCAAGUGAUUCUCCCACUUCAGCCUCCUAAGUAGCUGUGAUUACACCUGGCUAAUUUUUUUUCGAGUUUUAGUACAGAUAGGGUUUCACCGUGUUGGCCACGCUGGUCUCAAACUUCUGACCUCAAGUGAUCUGCCUGCCUAGGCCUCCCAAAGUGCUGGGAUUACAGGUGGGAGCCACUGCAUCUGCUCCGUAUAGAAAACUGAUGAAGGAAUUAAAGUGGACUGUUGGAGUUACAAUGGAAAAUAAUUUCUUGAUGAAAUGAAUGAAUGUUCAUAUAAUUCAGAUUAGAAAUUUGCAUUUAUGUAGAGUCACAGUGUCCUCCAAGUCAAAAUGUUGAAGUCAAAACAUGCGGAAUCCAUUUUGAAAGUUCUGUUACCUGAAGGAAGAAAAAGGAGGCAAGUCUCCUCUGCAUUGAGCCGUCACUGAGGGGAGCGCCUCGGGGGCCUCCACGGCCUUCCUGUCCCUGUGCUCUUGGCUUCGAGCUCUCAUCUGACUGGGCUCUCUGGGCAGUGUGUACACGGCUCUGGGGCUCCGGGGCUCUGAGGCUCCCUCCUCUGCUGCUGCUUGCUUUAUCCUUUCCUCUCCACAGCAUCCUGUGCUCUGCCUUCACCUCUGUAGCCACAGUUACCCAUCCUGACAACUGCUCCCUUUUAAGCACCCCUCAAACUUGUCUCCUCUCCAUCCCCACUGCCAUUUCCUUGGUCCAUCCUGACCAACCUUCCUCUCAGAACAACAGCAGUCUUCUUUUUUUUGGAGAUGGGGUCUUACUACAUUGCCCAGGCGGUCCAGAGUACAGUGGUGCAAUUAUGGCUUACUGCAGCCUCAACCUCCUGGGCUCAAGUGAUCCUCCUACCUUAGCCUCCUGAGUAACUGGGACUACAGGCACAUGCCACCGUACUCAGCUAAUUUUGUAUUUUUUGUAGAGACAGGGUUUUGCCAUGUUGUCCAGGCUAGUCUUGAACUCCUGGACUCAAGUAUUCCUCCCACCUUAGCCUCCCAAAAUGUGGGGUUAGAGGUAUAAAUCGCCAGGCUCCUUGCUUCUAGUCUUGUCUUGACUCCAAGCUCUCCCCUUCCCUGUGGUCAGGGUGACCUGUUUAAGACAAUUCUUACCUGACUACAUCUCAGUCUAAAAGCCUUCAGUGCUUCCACAAAGCCCAAAUGGCUGACAUCUUUAACAUUAAAGACUCUUUCUCCCUGGCUUCCCCGCCCCUUAAGGUCACAGCUCUCUUGUAUCUCUAGUGGAUUGGCUGCAGCAGCCAUGGGUAUGUUAGGCUUACAAUUUCCUUCAUUCUUGGUGGCUGAGUCUCUCUUAAGUUCUUCCUGAGCUUUAGUCAAAUCUUUUCAAGUGACCCUGAAUCUUCUCGGUACCUCUCCCCUUCUCACCCCCAUCCAAACUUUCUUUCUUCUGUUACCAGCAUCUCUUUGGUGACCAUACUCUUUUUCCUUCCAUUUAUUUCCAGGUCUAACAGAAUGAUGACACUGUGCCAAUUCUCAGUGUCUCGGGAGGUGGGGACAGGGUGGAACAUGCCUGCUAUUCCUUGUCAGAGCAGACCUGGGGUGGAUGUCAUCGAGAAAGGACCUCCAGUUCCUCAAUAAGUCAAAGAAUGACCACGUGACCCACAAUUCCACUCCUAGGUACAUAUCCAAGAGAACUGAAAGCAGGCAUCCAAACAAAAGCUUAUACAUAAUGUUCAUAGCAGCACUAUUCACAACAGCCAAGAGGUGGAAACAACCCAGAUGUCCAUCCAGUAAUGGACGAAUGGAUAAAUAAAAUGUGGAACAGCCGUACAAUGGAAUAUUACUCAGCUAUUAAAAGAAUUAAAAGUGCCGAUUCAUGCUACAACAUGGAUGAACCUUGUAAACGUUAUGUUUAAUGAAAAAAGCCAAGCACAAAAGGUCAUAUAUAAAUCCAUUUACAUGAAAUAACUAGAAUAGGAAAAGUCAUGGAGACAGAAAGCAGACUGAUAGUUGCCAGGGGCUGGGGGAUAAGAGGUGAUUACUUAAUGGGGACAGGGUUUUUUAGGGGAGUGACGAAACCAUUCUGGAACUAGAGAGUGGUAAUGAUUGCACACUGGUGUAAAAGUACUAAACACUAUUGAAACUGUAUACUUUAAAAUGGUUAAUUUGAUGUGAAUUUUGUUUCAAUAAAAUAUAAAUAUGAAAAAAGAAAGGGGCUGGGCACAGUGGCUCACACCUGGAAUCCCAGCACUUUGGGAGGCCAAGGUUGGAGGAUCCUUAAGCCCAAGAGUUCGAGACCAGUGUGGGCAACACAGUGUGACCCUUCCUCUAUAAAAAUUAAGAUAAAAGAAAAGGGAAGAACUCUUAUAGGGAUGAGUAGGAGAGUAUGUCAAGAACAGAAGAUGAUGGAUAAUUUAAUUCUGUGCCUCUGAGGCUUUAAAGCAAAGGGAGGGGGCAGGAAAGUGGGCCCACUUCAGUAACUAUUUCUCUCCAGGAUACAUUCUCCAAAGACGAACCCUAAGAAGGGAGGUGAUGGGUGGACAGAUGAUGGUGAACAGAGAGGGGUUACAAUGAGGGUGAAAAGGGGUUAGGCCUCCUUCCCUGCUUGCUGGGGCCUGGGCUCACACAAGGACAAGAGGACUUGAAAGGCUGCAGCCUAGGACGGUGGUCUGCACAGCCACUGAGAAGGGAACCCUUGCUUUCUGUUAAUAAAGCAAGACAUUUCACAUCCAAAAUCAUCUGUGCGGUAAGACUCAAAUGUAAGUGGAUCCUGUGAAACGGUUUUAUGCAGAAAGCAGAGAUCAGAUCAGAUCACAAAGCUGCAGAGAAAUCUCUUUAACCAAAUUACAAAGACUCACUCGUCUGGUUUCCAUUUCACUGCCUGAGUCUGUUUUAUAGUUGUGCUUUCUCAUGAAGGCUUUUAAGGGAGGCUAUUCCCUGACAUCAUGUGGAAAAAAUGUCCAAAUACUAUUACAUUACAGAGCAGCACUCUUGGAAGAGAAGGCAGCCUCGAAGCCUGCUGGUGUCCUGUUUCCUCUCCUUUAAACCCAUUUGUUGCUCUCUGCUCUCGAAAAGCAGAAACCCCCAAUCCCAGCUCUCCUGGUCUGGUUCCUCUCUCUGUCGGUGGGCGGAACACCAGUCUGGGAAAUACAGCAA
This is a non-coding RNA of Callithrix jacchus (white-tufted-ear marmoset), 7107 nucleotides long. The record is from RefSeq and is a predicted model, not a curated record. Lineage: Eukaryota; Metazoa; Chordata; Mammalia; Primates; Cebidae.